RNAcentral lists this small nuclear RNA (191 nucleotides) under Microcebus murinus (gray mouse lemur). RNAcentral's name for it is "U2 spliceosomal RNA (ENSMICG00000045423.1)". It matches the Rfam family "U2 spliceosomal RNA". Rfam says of the family: U2 is a small nuclear RNA (snRNA) component of the spliceosome (involved in pre-mRNA splicing). Complementary binding between U2 snRNA (in an area lying towards the 5' end but 3' to hairpin I) and the branchpoint sequence (BPS) of the intron results the bulging out of an unpaired adenosine, on the BPS, which initiates a nucleophilic attack at the intronic 5' splice site, thus starting the first of two transesterification reactions that mediate splicing. Lineage: Eukaryota; Metazoa; Chordata; Mammalia; Primates; Cheirogaleidae. The record is from Rfam by way of RNAcentral.
AUCCCUUCUUGGUCUUUUGGCUAAGAUCACACGUAGUAUCUGUCCUUAUCAACUUAAUAUUUGAUACGUCCUCUAUCUGAGGACAAUACAUUAAAUGAGGUUUGGGAUCCAGCAAAUGGAAUAGGAGCUUGCUCCCUCUACUCCAUGCAUCGACUUGGUAGUGCAGUACCUCCAGGAACAGAACAUCCCUA